CAGCUCGCAGGGUGUAAACAGCUAGUGAAUCAUAGAAUUUUUUAAAAUUCAUGAUGUCGUAAGGGAAAAUAAUGAUAAUACCUUACUAUGAGUGUCGUCCAAAUCUGGUGCCAGAAGACUCGGUAAGACCAGAGACGCAAACGUUAAUCAUCAUAAACAGGCGUAAAGGGUUUGUAGGCAGCUUUCACCAAACUAUGAUUACAAAAUAAAGUAGUUUAAUUGAAAGCUAGAAUCAAAAAGAGGUUAUAGUGUAUAACGCCUAGAGGAGGGCUGAUAUCCAUAGAUCCUAGGCAGAAUACUCAGGGCGAAGGCCACUCUCCACUACUGAUUGACGCUGAGAAACGAAGGUUAGGGUAGGAAAUAGGAUUAGAUACCCCGGUACUCCUUUCUGUAAACGAUGAAUGGUAGUCAUUAGUUUUAUAACUAGAGACGAAGUUAACACAAUAACCAUUCCGCCUUGUGAGUACUACUGCAAAGUAGAAAACAAAAAAAUUAGUCGGUCUCGAACAAACGGCAUUGAAGCAGUUAUUUAAUUCUAUAAUCCGCAAAU
Molecule: ribosomal RNA, 550 nt
Filed under: Metacampanella tricolor
Lineage: Eukaryota; Fungi; Basidiomycota; Agaricomycetes; Agaricales; Campanellaceae
Description: SSU rRNA
Rfam family: Bacterial small subunit ribosomal RNA
Source: RNAcentral